RNAcentral lists this long non-coding RNA (8392 nucleotides) under Nicotiana benthamiana. RNAcentral's name for it is "long non-coding RNA (NBEN_LNC007426)". The record is from RNAcentral. Lineage: Eukaryota; Viridiplantae; Streptophyta; Magnoliopsida; Solanales; Solanaceae.
AUCGGAUCUUAGACUACAUUUAGAGAAGAAGUUGCGCAACAAAACAUAACCACCCUCGCAUUGUCUUCUUCUCCAUAGAACAGAGCAGCCAUAAACGACCACUCUUAUACCUCUCAAACUCCAUGGAAGCAGCCGAAUAGAGCUCCAAAAUGAGCUGAUAACUCCUAGUAAAACUAGCUUGUAAAUCCCUUCGAAGAAGACCUAAAAAGUAGUCUGAAUUCUGGCUAGGAAUCAGAAAGAAAGAAGCUAUCAUUUCUCGUCCAGAUUCGCCGAAAAAUUUGCCCGGUUCAUCUCAUUGUUGUUUCAUUCAAAUUCUGGCAGAAUCCGGUUGGUUUUCCAUCGAAGUUCCUAUUUUUCCGAUGAGGGAGUCGAGUUCGUCGUCGUUGACACUCGUUGUUUGAGUUUUCCGGUCGAGGUCCUGCUGCUCUUGCUCGGAGGUGCGUUGAACAUUUUUUCGAUAUAGUUGCUAUAAUUGUUGAGGUUAAUUAUUCUCUUCUCUUCUAUUGUUCGCACUGUUAAUUUGUUAUUUGACAAAUACUUCAACAACUUUGAUUCUCGGUUUGGUUAUGCCGUCAUUUGAUUUUUCUUUGAAUUGUCUCAACAUUUGUUUGGAUAGUCAUGGUUUAAUUUUUAAUUUUCAGUCAUAAGAAAGUAUUUUAUAGGCAUACCACGAUUUUCUUCCCUUUGAAUGGGUGUGUUUCCUAUGUAUAAUGUGUGUGAGUCCUAAUUUUUGUAUAAUCUUGGAAAUGGUUUAGAUUCUAGUUUUUUAUCAAUGUUGUUUUUGCUUCUGUUUGUUCGAUUUUUUCUUAAUUAACGAGUUGGCAUGAAUUUGCUUUUUUAUUUGUUUUUCUAAAUUAUGAGAAACUAGUCAUUUUCAUUAAUUAGUAGAACUCCAUAGAGGCAAAUUGAUAUAAGACAAGUUUUGCCUUCAAAUAUGGGUAAGAUGAUAAUAUGGAGUCGUGAGAUUUCGUAACCCGCCAAUGAUCUUGUAUUAUUCCUUAAAGAAACUAAUACGCUUGUGUAAAUUUAGGGAAAUAAUUAUGAACAUCCGUAGUUUGUUUUAGUUGGGUACAAUCAUUUGAAAUUAGAUUCGAGGUGUGCUAUUUAGCGAAUUUUCAUGGCCCUCACAAUAUUAAUAACGCGUUAGUUGCUUUAGGCACGUAUUUUAAUAAUUUAUCUUUCCUAAACUCAUGUGUGCAUUUCAUGUGACCCAACUCCAAUUCUCAACAAUGUUAAAUAAAAUGUUUCAUGGAUCGCGGGUGCAUUUCAUGUGACGUGGUUCAAGGCGCGUAUUAAAUAACAUUGAAUCUUCAUAAAAAUAAUUAAAAGCAGUUUAAUAAGUUAAAAUGUACCAUAUGCUAAAACAUGUAUUAAAAUAAGAUAAUGAAGCCAAAUAUAAUAGUUGAGCGGCCAUGCUAGAACCACGGAACUUGGGAGUGCCAAACACCUUCUCCCGGGUUAACAGAAUUUCUUACCCGGAUUUCUAGUUCGUUGACUGUUAACAGAGUCAAAUCUUCCUCGAUUCAGGAUUUAAAAUCGGUGACUUAGGACACCAUUAAUUAUCCCAAGUGGCAAUUCUAAAAUCUCUUAAAUAAUUGAAUCCCAUUUCAAUUGUCCUUAGGAUUAUACAUGGAGAACUAAUGGUGAGUUGGAAGAAAUCUGAGGUUAAACAAUCCAUAUUGCAACAAGGAUUACAUUUGGCAGUUCUGAGCAAAUUCUCAUAUGGAAAACCCGUGAUCCAAGAAUUAAGGAAGGCAAUCCCAAUUCAAUGUGAGCUGAAAAGGCCAUGUUUGGUAGGUUUGAUUGCAGAGUCUCACGUCCUGAUCAAGUUAUCAUUUAUGGAGGAUUAUAUUCACUUGUUAUCGAAGCCCGCAUUCUAUUUAAAACCACAAGGAGAGUUUUGGCCGAUGAGAUGCACAAAGUAGAGUCCAUGGUGGUCUCCAUAUGUUGAGACACCAAUCGCAGCUUGGAUUUCAUUUCAAGAUCUUCCUCCUAAUUUCUUUGGUAAGGAGUUUGUAUUUUCUUUGGCUAAUGCAAUAGGAAGACCUUUACAUGUUGAUUUAGCUACGCAAAAUGGUACAAGACCUAGUUGUGCUAAGGUGAAGGUAGAGUUAAACCUACUUUCAACACUGCCUCAACGAAUCAAGAUUAUAGAAUAGGCGGAUGAAACUGGGCCUAAAGAAUCUAAAUAGAUUAAAAUAAGAUAUGAUUACAUGCCUAAAUAUUGCAAGACAUGUAAGAAGCAGGGUCAAAAGGAGGAGGAAUGUUGGGUAGCUAACCCAGAUUUACAAAUUUUUUUUGAUGGUGAUGGCAAGGUUCAACGCAAGGAGAGGGAGGUGCUAUUGAGUACUGACGUAGUUGGAACUGCUUCCAAUUCAUCUAAGCUGUUAUCAACAAGAUAAAAGGGGGCAUAUUAUGGAAGAAUACAUUGGAAAAAAGGUGGACAAAAGGAAAAGAGACCAAAGUUGAAGAAGUUGCAACUAAGAACAAGUUUCAUACACUGGAGGCGGAGGAAGUUCAGAAUCCUCCUCUUCUAACCACGGAGGUCAAAGGAGAAAAUCAUACCCAUGGAAAGAAGAAAGAACAAAUUGAAAGGCAACUCAAGGAGGUACAUGAGAAGGCAAAGGAAUUUAAGGAAUAAAAGGUAAAUCAUAAUCCUAAUCUUACUGGAAUAGGACAGCUGAAACGGAUAGUAUACGUGUGAAGAAGGAGGCAGUUGAGAAUAUGUUGAAAAAAUCAGUCAAUCAUAUUCCUAGUGGGAUUCAUUCAACUACUUCUACGGGAGGUCAAGAACUAGUUGAUUCUACUGUUCCUAUUAGGGAAGGAAUUAAGAAGGAGUUGACCAUUGAAUGGGUGCAUAGAAGGUUUGGUACAAACAAAGAGGAUCUAAGGACAAACUAUUCGUGCCAUGAGAUUCCCUCUAAAACUAAUGGGAAUUCUGGGCAGGUAGAUGAGGGGAUGGAGGUCAAUUCUACUAAGGUAUCAUGGGGAAAAGAAGCUGAGGCUAUGGAAGAAUAGAUGGAUGCAACAAAUGCAGUAACAAACAAAGAAUGAGGAGAUAACAAAUAAGUUCAACAAAUUUCCAGUACUGUAGCUGCUAAAGUAAACCCUAAUAGUGCAAAAGAUAGGGUUGACCGUAACCUAAGUUCUAUGGAUUCCAAACCUACAAGAUUUAGUGGAGGAGGUGCAUGAGCUCAAAAGGGACAUGGAGAUCAAGGUGGAUCAGCCAAAACAUCAAUGAUCAAUAAGAACACUAAUGGAACAGUAAACCCUAGCAAAAUUGGGGAGAUUUUGGCAUUUGUUGAUGGUAUUCCUGUUUAUUGUUUGGAGAAGGGAAUGGAUGAGAAGGUUCCUACAGAGGUUAGGAAAGAUAAACUAUGCCAAGAAAAACAAACAGUCCAUGGCAAUGUGCAUGAUAUCAAUGGAACAAUAAUUCUUAGUUGUUCUACUACAAUAAAUCCUGACCUAGGAUCUGUAUAUGAACUUCAAUUCAAGCAGAUGCAGAAUAAUUUGGGGAAUGUAGAGAGGGAUAGAGAGCUUCAAGUAGCAGCUAUAACUCCAUAUGAACCAGCAGCACAAGCUAUUGUUACACCGGAGAUAGAGGAAUUGGAAUCACUGCCUUUGGCAUGUGUAUCUUGAACUGACUCACCAAUACAGAUCCAAAUCGAUGUGCCAUUGAAGAGUCCAAAAUCUAGUACUUUAUGACAUUAUUACUCACAAGGACCUGCCUGAUGAGAUUCAGAAUAAUAUGAUUGAUCAACAAAAGCAAUUUGAGGAAGAAGAGGAUGAUGAAUCAACUGCUGAGAUAUUUAAGAUUGUUGCAAGGGAAGGGGAUUUAUCUCCAUCAUCUGUAGCUAAAAGUGAUAGGAAGGGGAAGAAGAUUCAACUUAAAGAUAUCACCUACUAGAAUUUUGCCCAGGAGGGCAACAUCUAAUGCUAGAAGAUGAUGAUCAAUGCUCUCAUAUGGAAUAUACGGUCUGUCAAAACUCAACAGGCCAUUCAAAGAGUCACCAAUGUGCAAAAGGAACAUGGAAUUUUUAUUGUUGCACUUAUGUAGCCUUUGCAAAAAAAAAAUUUAAUCAGAAGUAUAGAAGAAGAUUGGGGAUGGAGGCUGCAAUUUCAAAUGUCAAUGGAAGGAUCUGGUUGUUUAUUGAUGCUAUGGUGGAAUGUGAUCUAUUAAUUGAUACUGAGCAACAUAUGACAAUUAUAGUGUAUCAUAGAGAGGUUGGUAAGUACAUUAUGAUGACAUUUGUGUAUGCUAAAUGCUGAGCUCUAGAAAGGUUAGAAUUAUGGGACAAUUUGUAUUACUUGGCUAGUGAUAUGGAAUUACCUUGGUUAGUUGGGGGUGAUUUCAAUGUUGUUCUUGGAUAGGAGGAGAAAAUAGGGGGGCUUCCAUUAUAUCCUCUAGAGUAUGAAGACUUUUCUUUUGUGUCAAUUCAUGUGGACUAUUUGAUUUGCGGUAUAGGGGGAGUCCUUUUACUUAGUGGAAUGGAAGGUCAAAUGAGGAGUGCAUUCUUAGAAGAUUGGAUAGGAUUAUUGUAAAUUUUCCUUUUCAAACAUUGUUUCCAACAAUAGAAGUGGAACAUCUCAUUAGGACAGGCUCUGAUCAUUCACCCGUAGUUAUGAGUUGUGGAGAGGAUAUCAUGAAGAUUGUGAAGCCAUACAAGUUCUUGAAUUUAUGGAAAAAAAUGAAACAUUCUUGGAGGUGGUGAAGAAGAAUUGGAUUUUUAAUUUUAUAGGAGAUUCUUUCAUGAUGUUUAAGCACAAGUUGAAGAGGGUCAAGGUUGCUCUAUCAAAAUGGAGUAAAAUGACCUAUGGUGAUAUUUUCAAACAAUUAGCUAUUAGAGAGGAUGUAGUGAGGAUUAAGGAGAUGUUGUUUGAGGAGAAACCUUUAAUAUAAAAUAGAGUUAUUCUCCAACAGGCCCAAGCCGAGCUAAAGGAGUACUUGAGCAUUGAGGAACAAUACUGGAAGCAAAAAACAGGUAUGACAUGGUUUGAAGAGAGAGACAGAAAAACAAGGUUUUUUCAUAAUUGUGUCAAUGGGAAGAGGCAAAAGUUACAGUUGAAAAGAAUCCAGAAUGGUGAUGGUUCAUGGAUUGAUGAUCAAGAGAAACUAUUUGACGCUGCAGUUCAGUUUGUUCAUUAGCAAUUCACCAUGGAACGAGAUCAUGUAAGCUUUUAUAUGUUGAAUAAUGUUCCUUCAAUGGUGACAAUGGAGCAAAAUGUGGAAUUAUGCAGAUUACCAACUAUGGAAGAAGUGUAGAAUGUUGUCUUUGCUUUGAGUAGUGAAAGGUGCAAGUGGUCCAAAUGGUUUUUCUGGCUUGUUUUUCCAAGCAUGUUUAGUUAAGGUAAUCCAUUAGCUAAGUCCAUAACACACACUAACCUUAUAUUACUGCCUAAAAAACCACAAGUACAAACAUUCUCUGACCUUAGACCAAUAAUUUUGAGCAACUUCAUUAACGGUUUUCUCAAGAGUGGUUCAUGAUAGACUUGAAAGGAUUCUUCCUUCAUUGAUCUCAGCAAAUCAGUCAAGUUUUAUUAAAGGAGGAAGUAUAUUUGAGAACAUUUUGUUGACUUAGGAGAUUGUAACAUAUAUAAGAUUGAGUGGGAAUCCUGUUAAUGUAGUGAUAAAGUUAGACAUGGCUAAACAUAUGAUAAGGUGUCACGGAAAUAUUUGCUGCAUGUGUUAAGCAAAAUGGGCUUUGCUGAGUGUUUUAUCAAUAUGGUUUGGAACCUUAUCUCUAACAAUUGGUACUCAAUUAUAGUGAAUGGACAAGCUUCUGGAUUUUUUCAUUCUACUAGCGGUGUAAAGAAGGGGGAUCCUCUUUCACCAGCAUUGUUUAUUCUCACAGCAGAAGUGCUAUCAAGGGCAUUGAACAGAUUGUUUGAUGAUAGGCAGUUUAGAGGUUUUCGCGGGCCAAAAUGGUCAUAUCCUUUGAAUCACUUGCCCUAUGAAGAUGACACUAUCAUAUUUGCAUCAGCACGGCCUUACUCACUUUAGAAGAUAAUGGAUGCAUUGAAAUUAUAUGAAAGUACAUCUGGCCAGAUGAUCAACAAGAAAAAGAGCUCCUUUUAUAUGCUCUCAAAGGUGUCUAGUGCAUUGGUGAACUCAACAACUACCAUAGCAGGUUUUCCGAAAGGAAGUUUUCGAAUUAAUUACCUUGGAUGUCCUAUCUUUUACACCAGAAGAAGGAAGAACUAUUUUAAUGGUCUGAUUCAAAAGGUUAAGGCAAAGCUUCACUCAUGGAAAGGCAAGCUACUGUCUUAUGGAGGCAAGGCUACAUUGAUUACAAGUGUUUUGCAAAGCAUUCCUGCACACAUUUUGUUAGUAUUAGAACUUUCUCGUAAUGUGUUGGAACACCUUCAUAAAAAUAUUUGCAAGAUUUUUCCGGAGCAAUAAAGAAGAGUGGAGAAGCAGACAUUGGACAAAGUGGCUGAAACUAUGCCUUCCUAAGGAGGAGGGGAGAAUAGGCUUCAGAUCUUUGUUUGAUGUGUCCAAGGCCUUAUUUACAAAACUAUGGUGGAGAUUCAGAACAUCUAAAUCUCUAUAGUCCAAUUUUAUGUGGAACAAGUUCUGCACGAAGGAAUUAUCUACUGUGGUUCAAUUUAGAAAUGGCUCUCAUGUUUGGAGAAAAAUGCUAGAAGCUAGAGAUGAGGUGGAGCAUGAAAUUAUGCGGGAAAGAAUAGGGGCUAUACCAAUAUGUGGCAUGGAAAUUGGAAUGGUUGGGAGCCUUAUAUCAUGUAUUUCCUCCAGACUUCCCCAUAAAUGAAGGUCUGCAAAAAGUGGCUGAUUUGAGAACUGAAGAUCAUUGGGAUGAUGCAAUGUGGAAUCACACCUUCCCUAAGGAAAUUGCUGAUCAUAUUAGACAGGAGAUUCAUUUUUAUAAUGGAGAUGACUACUAGGAUACUCCUAGGCGGAUGCCUACAUCCUCAGGUAAAUUUACUAUGAGUAGUGCAUGGAGAAUAAUGAGGCAUAGGGAACCUAGCAAUCUCAAAUUUGCAAAGUUGUGGACCAAAGGGUUACCUUUAGAUAUUUCAUUCUUCUUGUGGAGAGUGUGGAGAGAAAAGGUACCUACGCUGAUAUAUGUACAAGAGGGGUUUACAUGGUAGUGUCAAAGUGUUGGUGUUGCAUACCAUCGCAAGAGUAUUCAUUCCAACAUUUGUUUCUAACAAAUGAGACAACAACCGAAGUGUGGAAAAUUGUUUUACAGGCUACAUGGUUGAUGACUACCAUGGUGCAGGUUCAUCAAGUCGUAAGGGAAUGGUGGAAUGCAAAAAGUUGUCCAAAAUUAAGUCCCAUGUAGAAGUAGCUCAUGCAGUAAUUCUAUGGGAACUCUAGAAAAGAAGGAACACAAUCAAUUAUGGGGGAUCAGUGUCUUGCAGUAGAGUGAUUCAUGAGGUGAAUAAGCCACUGUAUUACUUGGCAAAGGUGAGGUAUCCUUGGCUUCCUGGGAUUGCAUUGCUAUGGCCAAUAUGAUCAGAUUCUUUGAGAGCUAUAAGCUAUAUGAAGGAUGGUUCAAGUGUAAUACAGACAGAGCUUCAAAAGGGAAUCCGGGUCCUAGAUCUUGUGGAUUUUGUGUUAAGGAUCAUAGGGGGGACUUGGUAUUUGCUAAAGCAAGGGAUUUAGGAGAGGCAACUAAUGUUGUAGCUGGGGCCAAAUCCCUUGUAGAUGGAUUGGUCUAUUGUGUAGAGAAAUAGCUCCACCCUUUGAUCAUGAAGACCGAUUCUUUGGUAAUGAAGAAGAUAAUUGAUGAUGAGUACACCAUGGUGUAUAGGGCCAGAAGUGAGGAGGAUAAAGGAUAUUAAGGUGUCAUACAAUGUGCUAUUCCAACAUGUGUUGAGGGAGAGCAACAAAGUGGCAGAUGUUUUAGCUAAUCACGUUUUCUCUUUUGCAGGUACAGUCAUAUUUUAAUCAUUUCAGGAGUUACCAACUAAAGGAAUAGUUCUAAUCAACAUGGACAGAGCUCUGUUUCCUAUCCUGAAAGCUAGGAUAACAAAAAGAAAAGCUCCAGACUGAUGAGUACAAUGUAAGUAAAGAGGCCUCAAACUCAUCUUAUGUAUUUCUGGAUGUUGUUGAAUGGUUGCUCAAUGGUAUUAGCAUAGUUUCAUGCUCAACCUGGGGACUAUUUAGCAGGGUAAAAAAUACUGUAUAAACAGGUUGUGGUAGGUAAUUGGGAAGCUCUUAUUAAUGAACACAAGUUAAAAUCUCAGAGGAACAGUAUUGUUGUUCUUUGCACAACAAUUUUUGCUUAUUAUACAUGUGAUCAUAGGCGAUUUAAGGAAGUGAAAAACCUACAUUUUGUAUGCUGAUUUGCAGAAUAGAGGGUAUAGUUGGUAUAUGCUUUGCACAUCCAAGCUUUGUGAUGUCCUACAUGAAAAUGUGGCUAUACAG